CAUGCAAAAGUUUCUUUUUAUUUCCUUUUUUUAUUCAAUUUCUAAUAAUCUUUAUUUAUUUUGUGUAUUUUAUUUCUUAAUGAUUUCUGUUACAAGAUAAAUAUUUGCUUACUGAAUGCUUAAGAAUAAUACAGAUAAAGAUGAUAUUAUUAAUAAUAAAAUGUUCACGUCAUAUUUUUACAGACUCAGCGAAAUAGAAAAGUUAUUAUAUACACACACACACAUGUUUAUCUAUGUAUGUGUACGUAUAUGUAUAUAUAUAUAUAUAUAUAUAUAUAUAUAUAUAUAUAUAUAUAUAUAUAUAUAUGUAUUUAAGUAUGUAUGUAUGUGUUUAUGUAUGGAUAUUACACACUGACACAGAUGAUGAGUAUUAACGCUGUACCGUUUUUCGAAAAUGAGAAAUUUUUAUUUCCAAAUCUUGUUAUUAUCAUCCCGGUCAAAUGGCGAAAAUUUUUAGUGAAGUCGUGUUUAUAUUUUCAUUUGCUUUUGUUACUCUUUCGUUUCUUCUUUGUUAUUUACUAAUGUCAAACGGAUGCAAAAGUUCCUUCGUUAUAAACCUGCUUCUGGAACAUAGUUUAAUCAACUCAGCGACAAAACUUGAAACUUUUUGUCUUCUGUAAAGUCUUUGUCAAGUAAUAGAUAAAACAACGAAUGGCCAACAAGUAAUAACCUCUUGACACUAAUCGGAGAUAACACCAAAUGCUCUAUAAAUCAGAUUAAUGGCGACACAAAGCUGAUAGAUAUUCAGCUACUGUAUUAGUAGCAAGGUAUAAGGAACGCCAUUGGUGCAGUCAAGCAUGUUUUGGAAGGAUCGGGCUGAGAUUAAAUUUCUGUUCUUCCCUCACACCAAAUAUACUUUCAUCUUUUCUUCUCAUUUCUCUUCAUUCUUCUCAAGCUUGUUAUCUGUUCUCUUCUUUCUUUUUCUUAUUUUUUUCCUUUCUCUUGCAAAUCAUUCUUUCUUAACUCUCGAUCAGUUCUGAGUUUCUGGCCCUUGUUCUUAAGUUUCAUCCUCCAAUGAGAGUUACAGAGCAGUCGAAUUGGUUGCGUAUUCAUUUACCUGCACACCGAGUAUCGACACUUUAUUGCCCAUUCAUUGUGACUGCGGUCUAUCUAUAGUCAAGCCAUUUAAAUUUCACUGACCUACAGCGUCUAGCUGUAAGUUACUUACUACCUUGUAGAAAUAUAACGAAUUCCUUCAGGUAGCUUAUCUUCGAAUAAGUGGUGAAUAUUUCACUUUGCAGUGCUGAAUUCAAAUCCAAGAUUUCCAUGAAAAGAGUUUGUUUGGAGGUAGUCUAGAUUAGGGGCUGACUUGCUUUAAAAGUAAAAAAUCUAGUAAAUUUGAUAUUGGAUUCACCGAUCCUUCUUGUAGUAGUAGUAGUAGUAGUAGUAGUAGUAGUAGUAGUAGUAUAGUAGUAGUAGUAGUAGUAGUAGUAGUAGUAGUAGUAGUAGUAGUAGUAUAGUGGUGGGUUUAUUGGUUGUGGUGGAGGUGGUGGUAGUAAUAGUAGUAGUAGUAGUUUCUUUCUUUGGUAUAUCUCUCUUUCUCUCUUUUACUUCACUUUGUUCCUAAGAAAUUGCUUCUUUAUUUUAAAUCGUCUCUAAAUCUUUCAUCCUUUAACACUUUUUUUACACAGACAGGUAUACAGUAAUUUAAUUUUUGUGCUUAAAUACUUUUUUGCAUUUAAACAACGAAAGCGUACCUAGGCAAUUCUCCGUAUCAUUUUUUUUUCAAUCAAAAUAUUCAAAUAUACAUUUAUACCCAUAUAUACAUAAAUAAAUAGAAAGGUACAUAUUUUAGAGCACGUAUAAAUAUAUUUCCAUGCAUUCAUACAUAGACAUGAUGAUAACAAAUGCACAAAACGAACAUAGAAGCUAUAUUUUAUACAGUUAGACUCCCAGAAAGAUUCCAGUUGCGUUCCAAUUUAGUUUUUAAAUAAACAGUAUAAAUUUAAUCGUGAAAAAAUUUAUGACUCCUGCUGAUAUAUUUCAAUAUAAUUUUUUAAACAAAGCUGUGAAUCUGGUUCCUUUUUAGAGAAAACUUUUAGAAACAUAUAAAAAAUAACCAGAGUCGUACACACGGCAGCACACUUACAUGUAGAGUACAUAUUUUUAUUGGUUACAUACAUAUCAAUGUAUAUGAUUGUGUGAUGUGUGUGUAUCUAUCUAUCUAUCUAUCUAUCUAUCUAUCUAUCUAUCUAUCUAUCUAUCUAUCUAUCUAUCUCUCUAUCUCUCUCUAUAUAUAUAUAUAUAUAUAUAUAUAUAUAUAUAUAUAUAUAUAUCUGUCUGUCU
RNAcentral lists this long non-coding RNA (2286 nucleotides) under Octopus vulgaris (common octopus). Lineage: Eukaryota; Metazoa; Mollusca; Cephalopoda; Octopoda; Octopodidae. The record is from RNAcentral.